This 338-nucleotide ribosomal RNA is filed under the name uncultured soil bacterium. RNAcentral describes it as "bacterial SSU rRNA". It matches the Rfam family "Bacterial small subunit ribosomal RNA", at positions 26 to 365 of the family's 1533-position model. The record is from RNAcentral.
AGAUUGAACGCUGGCGGCAGGCCUAACACAUGCAAGUCGAGCGGUAGAGAGGUGCUUGCAUCUCUUGAGAGCGGCGGACGGGUGAGUAAUGCCUAGGAAUCUGCCUAGUGGUGGGGGAUAACGUUCGGAAACGGACGCUAAUACCGCAUACGUCCUACGGGAGAAAGCGGGGGACCUUCGGGCCUCGCGCCAUUAGAUGAGCCUAGGUCGGAUUAGCUAGUUGGUGAGGUAAUGGCUCACCAAGGCGACGAUCCGUAACUGGUCUGAGAGGAUGAUCAGUCACACUGGAACUGAGACACGGUCCAGACUCCUACGGGAGGCAGCAAGUGGGGAAUAUU